Molecule: ribosomal RNA, 1370 nt
Filed under: Clostridium novyi B str. ATCC 27606
Lineage: Bacteria; Bacillati; Bacillota; Clostridia; Eubacteriales; Clostridiaceae
Description: bacterial LSU rRNA
Rfam family: Bacterial large subunit ribosomal RNA
Source: RNAcentral
CGUAUUGGAGGUAGAGCACUGAUUGGACUAGGGGUCCUCAUCGGAUUACCGAAUUCAGUCAAACGCCGAAUGCCAAUGACUUAUCCUUAGGAGUCAGACUGCGAGUGAUAAGAUCCGUAGUCAAAAGGGAAACAGCCCAGACCGCCAGCUAAGGUCCCAAAGUGUGUAUUAAGUGGAAAAGGAUGUGGAGUUGCUUAGACAACUAGGAUGUUGGCUUAGAAGCAGCCACCAUUUAAAGAGUGCGUAAUAGCUCACUAGUCGAGUGACUCUGCGCCGAAAAUGUACCGGGGCUAAAUACACCACCGAAGCUGCGGAUUGAUACCAAUGGUAUCAGUGGUAGGGGAGCGUUCUAAGGACAGUGAAGUCAGACCGGAAGGACUGGUGGAGUGCUUAGAAGUGAGAAUGCCGGUAUGAGUAGCGAAAGACGGGUGAGAAUCCCGUCCACCGAAUGCCUAAGGUUUCCUGAGGAAGGCUCGUCCGCUCAGGGUUAGUCAGGACCUAAGCCGAGGCCGACAGGCGUAGGCGAUGGACAACAGGUUGAUAUUCCUGUACCACCUCUUUAUCGUUUGAGCAAUGGAGGGACGCAGAAGGAUAGAAGAAGCGUGCGAUUGGUUGUGCACGUCCAAGCAGUUAGGCUGAUAAGUAGGCAAAUCCGCUUAUCGUGAAGGCUGAGCUGUGAUGGGGAAGCUCCUUAUGGAGCGAAGUCUUUGAUUCCCCGCUGCCAAGAAAAGCUUCUAGCGAGAUAAAAGGUGCCUGUACCGCAAACCGACACAGGUAGAUGAGGAGAGAAUCCUAAGGUGUGCGAGAGAACUCUGGUUAAGGAACUCGGCAAAAUGACCCCGUAACUUCGGGAGAAGGGGUGCUUUCUUAACGGAAAGCCGCAGUGAAUAGGCCCAAGCGACUGUUUAGCAAAAACACAGCUCUCUGCGAAGCCGUAAGGCGAAGUAUAGGGGGUGACACCUGCCCGGUGCUGGAAGGUUAAGGAGAGGGGUUAGCGUAAGCGAAGCUCUGAACUGAAGCCCCAGUAAACGGCGGCCGUAACUAUAACGGUCCUAAGGUAGCGAAAUUCCUUGUCGGGUAAGUUCCGACCCGCACGAAAGGUGUAACGAUUUGGGCACUGUCUCAACCAGAGACUCGGUGAAAUUAUAGUACCUGUGAAGAUGCAGGUUACCCGCGACAGGACGGAAAGACCCCGUGGAGCUUUACUGUAGCCUGAUAUUGAAUUUUGGUACAGUUUGUACAGGAUAGGCGGGAGCCUUUGAAGCCGGAGCGCUAGCUUCGGUGGAGGUGCUGGUGGGAUACCGCCCUGACUGUAUUGUAAUUCUAACCUACGGGUCUUAUCGACCCGGGAGACCGUGGCCGGUGGGCCG